RNAcentral lists this long non-coding RNA (312 nucleotides) under Homo sapiens (human). Its description in RNAcentral is "HSALNT0400843". The record is from RNAcentral. Lineage: Eukaryota; Metazoa; Chordata; Mammalia; Primates; Hominidae.
UUUGAGGACAAUUGUUCAAGUGAGAAGAGGGCUGUGCAGAUCUCAAGAUGACAUCGGGAUCCUGAUGUGAAGUUUUCCUGCUUCUGGAGGAGGGAAGCAGAGGGCUGUUUUGCCUCCUCUGGGCCAGGGAUGCAUGGAAUGGCAGAGGUGGGGGCUCCCAGCUAUGGUGACUGGGAGGGCAGGUCGGGGUCCCUGGAAGCAGAUCCUGAGACAAAGUCCCCUGUGCAAGAGAUUUAUUUCAAAGGUGUGCCCAGCAUUCCAUUGUGUAAGGAUAUCGGAGGAUGCAAGUCCCCAAGACCUCCCCGACACUGC